This is a non-coding RNA of Misgurnus anguillicaudatus (oriental weatherfish), 2215 nucleotides long. The record is from RefSeq and is a predicted model, not a curated record. Lineage: Eukaryota; Metazoa; Chordata; Actinopteri; Cypriniformes; Cobitidae.
AUAAGACACGAUUCAUAUCUGAUAACUGUUACAAUAAUUGCCAAAACUACAGUUUAUAUUAGUGUCAUGAUUUGCACUUGAGUUUUGUAUCGACAGGGCCACUGCCAAUUUAGGCAUGUUUUAAUUAUGACACUUAAACAAUUGUAUAUGUACAUCGAUAAAAGUUUUUGCAAUCAUGGAAACAUAAGUGAAUUGCAGACAGCAUUCUUGUUUUACGAAUGUAAAAUGGCUGGAGUAGUGAUGUCACUAGCUAGAUUAAUUUUCAUUUGACCUCCCCCACAGAAAGACACAGCACAUCAUUAUAUCGUUGGCUCCGCCCACUGGUGUUCAGUCUAAAGUAGUAGUUGUUGACAAUCAUAAAGUUGUAAAAACAGUAAGAUUGUGAUGUCAGACAAACAUUGUGCUGUUGCUGGCUGUGGGAAAUUAGUGUCUUUGUAAGGGUCGCAAAUAAUUUGAAAAUAUUUAUGUUUCAAAAUAUUGCCCCCCUACCAUGAACUAAACUGGACUGUCGCAGAGACCAAGUGUAGUAAGGUACGGAGCGCUCACACUAGUCACACCAAACUUUGGAGGUUUCUGAAUUGAUGUCAGAUGCAAAGCAGAAGUUUAUUUUCUUCCAGUUUGGCUUCAUUGUGGAAAAAUGCUGGAAACUAAAAUGCAGAACAUGAUGCACGAUGGGAUGCACAAAGUGAUAUUUGGACGCAGCCUCAGUCUGUCAGAUCAAAGAGACAUACAGAAUUCAUAGAGCAGUGGGACUCCAUGAACAGAGUUGAGAACCACUGGUGUAACUCAUUAUGCUUACCUGACUCAUGCAGAAUUCUGGCCUGGUGUUUGGUCCACCCUUUCUCUGGCUUGUGUCUCCGUCUCCAUCAUCAUUAUACUCUUGUCAGUGUUAUAGUAUUGUCGUCUGCGUACCAGGACUUUGUUUCUCAGCUGUCCCUUCUCCUUCAAGCUACAUUUUUGUCAAGCUGCAACAAGUUGGAAUACAUAAUUAUUAACGUUUAAGGAUUUUGAUGUAUGAAAUAUGUAACAAAAGCAAAAAAUGUACAGACAUUCUAUUAAGAAAUUACCUUUUUGUUGUUUGUUUACUGACCUUUCAACCAUAUUGCAUUUAAAAUUGAUCAUCAUACCUUUGGUCUACUGUUAACAGACUACUGUAGAAAACUUUGAAUAAAGUAAAAAAAAAAGAGAAAAAAUUAUAAAUGCUGAAUGUGUCUCAUCUUAAAUACAUUGUUGUUGUUUUUUUCAUUGAAUUUGGAUGUUUUGAUGAUUUAAGGAAAAUUUACGUAGCAUAUAUAUUGAUGUUUUAAUUCAGAGUUUGUUAAUGACACUUAAUCAUUAACAAACAUUUAAAAAGGUUUAUUACAAUACUAAUUGAUAAUAUUAAAUUAAUGUAAUAAUCUUGUUUUGUUACACCCUAAAUCACUGAGCGCACAAACGCUACCCCAGUUACAAGCAUGGAUGGUUGACUUCAUGCAGACAUGGGCAGACAUCGAAGUACCGCGAGAGUGAUUCAAAAGCCCACGAAACAGUGUAAUCACGCGGUACUGUGACGUCAUACUGGUUAACGCUAAGCCACGUGAAGCGCCCGGACACAAGGGCUGCACUAAUCUUUGGGCUGGAGUAGCCUGUGGCUUACGUGUCUCGUCGCAGAACGAUUUAUUUCUCUUUUUCACCUCGAUCUUUGGCCUCUUGUGAUUUAACAAAACCAACAUGUGAAGUUACAACGCUGACGAAGGAGUUUAAUCAGUAACGUUAGAGUGUGUCCUGGUAAACGUGUGCUUGGAAACAUGCAGAUUACAGUAUUUACAGAGCCGACCUUGAGGCUAUUUUUUUUGCAUGACAUCCACUGAUGGAUAAUCUGUUUACCUAAAAACAGCACUUCAGGAGAAACCUGCCUGUGAUCUGCUAAGAUGCACAGAUUCAACUCUGGCCCAUUGUCAUUCCAACACCUUAUCUGCCAUCAGUUUCGUUUAGUGUCGAUCUAUUGCAAAAGUUCUUAUAAACUUUAAAUGAGACUUUGUGUUAAGCAGGGGUUUCCAAACUUUUAAUUUCACAACAUAUUAAGCCCAGGAUACACAGCAGGAUUUUUUGCAAUCCAAUAGACCUUAUCACACUGUGUGACAAGAAUUGUUUAAACUUUAGCAGUAGACUGUCGAUGAAGACACCUAUUGCAUCUGAGGCUGCGACAUCCGUCAUCAGCAUGCGCUAGUGGUAA